Long non-coding RNA from Oryctolagus cuniculus (rabbit), 2607 nucleotides. RefSeq lists it as uncharacterized. Lineage: Eukaryota; Metazoa; Chordata; Mammalia; Lagomorpha; Leporidae. The record is from RefSeq and is a predicted model, not a curated record.
GGCGGCCGCCUAUAUACAGCCCGGUCGCCAUGGGGAUGGGCCGGGGCCUCUUCCUGUUGGUCCAGACCCCUCUCUCUGCCCGGAGAAGCCGCGGCAGAAGAGUGCUGAUUGGUGCAGGCGACAUGGGAUGAGGAAAUGGUUUGCUGCUCAGAACAGCUCCAUUCUCAUCAAGGAUGGGCUAUGCAAAAUAGGUCUCCGGGCUGUGCACCUCUUGCCAUUGUGGAUGACAUUUCAGAGGAUCUAGCAAUGUUACAGUGAUUAUGACAUUGAGGAAAUUCGCUCUCAUCGUGGGUGGCCUCGAAAGACUAACCAUUGAAGUCACCCAGGGCACACUCCAGUGCUAAAAAGUUAGGAACAAGCGAGUGUGUUGAAGAAGUAUAUGGUUGGAAUUCUAAUUUAGAAACGAAUGUUUCUCCCAAAGGACCAUCUGCAGGAUUGCAGCAUUUUACAUUAGCCACAGCUUGGUUCAGUGCCUUGGAGCCAAAUCACAUUUUCUGAAAAUCUUUGUUUCAACCAAAAAUCUUUGCUUUCCCUUUGCAUAAUCAUACCCCCCUCUUUUUUUUUUUUCAAUUUGUAUCCUCUGAACAAAAUAAAAUUUGAUAAUUUUUUUUGUUUGGUUGGUUUUUGUUUCUUGAAGAUUUAUUUAUUUAUUUGAAAGGCAGAGUUUCAGAGAGCCACUGAGAGAGAGAGAGAGAGAGAGAGAGAGAGUCUUCCAUUCACUGGUUCACUCCCUAAAUAGCCGCAGUGUCCAGAACUAGGAUGAUCCGAAGCCAGGAGCCAGGAGCUUCUUCUGGGUCUCCCAGUGGAUACAGUAGCCCAAGCACCUGGGCCAUCUUCUACUGCUUCCCCAGGCCAUAGCAGAGAGCUGGAUUGGAAGUGGAGCAGCUGGAACUUGAACCGGCCCCAUAUAGGAUGCCGGCACUGCAGGCAGCAACUUUUUUUGUUGUUUUUAAGAUUUAUUUAUUUAUUUGAAAGUCAGAGUAGUACACAGAGAAAGAAGGAGAGGCAGAAAGAGAAAGAGAGAGAGGUCUUCCAUCUGCUGAUUCACUCCCCAGUUGGCUGCAAUGGCCAGAGUUGCACCAAUCCAAAGCCAGGAGUCAGGAGCUUCCUCCAGGUCUCCCACAUAGGUGCAGGGGCCCAAGGUCUUGGGCCAUCUUCCACUGCUUUCCCAGGCAGAGAGUUUGAUUGGAAGAGGAGCAGCUGGGACUCGAACAGGUGCCCAUAUGGGAUGCUGGCACUGCUCGGUAAUGUUUUUAAUUUGAAAAAGCUUUCCUGGGGCCGGGACAGUGGUGCAGUGAGCUAAGCUGCUGUCUGUCACACUGGCAUCCCAUGUCAGAGUGCAUGUCCAAGUUCUGGCUACUCUGCUGCUGAUCCAGUUCCCUGCUAAUGUGUCUGGGAAAGCAGCAGAGCAUGGGCCCCACCACUUAUGUGGGAGACCUGGCAGGAGUUCCAGGCUUUGGCCUGGCCCAGCCCUGGCUGUUAAGGCCACUUCAGAAGUAAACUAGUGGAAGCUCUCUCUAUGUCUCUGUCACUCUGCUUUUAAAAUGAAUAAAAUCAGUCUUUUUUAAAAAAAAUCCUGAAAAAAUAAAAGAAAAAAAUACCUUUAAUUUUAUUGCUAGAUGAUUUGAGACCUAUGGUAAAAGCUAACAUUUCUGAAGUUAUCACUGAUUGCUAAGGCUCUGUUCUAGGCAUUUUUACUCAGUUAUUCUUCAACACAGAGAUAGAUAUUCUUCAACAGAGAUAGAUACAAUGAUUAUUUCCCUUUUACAGAUGACAAAAUUGAGGCACAAAAGUUUAAGUUGACAGAAGUCACCAAGUAAAUGCAAUAGAGCCAGAGCUCAAAUCCAAGUCUAAGUUUCACUGAAUUACAAUUGUUUGUUUGUUUAAAGACUUAUUUAUUUAUCUGAAAGCAAGAGUUACAGAGAGAGAGAGAGAGAGAGAGAGAUCUGCCAGUUCACCCCACAGAUGGACACAAUGCCAGGGGCAAGCCAGGCCGAAGCCAGGAGCCAGGAGCUUCAUCCCAGUCUCCCACAAGGGGGUGGCAGGGGCCCAAGCUCUUGAACUAUCUUCCACUGCUUUUCCAAGGCACAUUAGUCGGGGGCUGCAUUGGAAGUGGAGCAUCAGAGACUUGAACCAGCUCCCACGUGGAAUGCUGGCUUCGCAGGCAGCAGCUCCACCUGCUACACCAUAGCACUAGCCUCAAAAGAAGCAACACUGUAUAAUUAAAAAUAAAUUUCUGAUACCACUACCAGCUCCCUGCUAAUGUACCUGGGAAACAGCAGAGAUGGCCAUGUCCUUGGGUCCCUGCCACCCACUUGGGAGACCCAGAUGGAGUUCUUGGCUCCUGGUUUUGGCAUGGUCCAGCCCCAGCUAUUGGCCAUUUGGCAAGUGAACCAUCAGAUGGAAGAUCUAUUUCUGUGUCUCUCCUCCCUCUGUCACUCUGCCUUUCAAAUAAAUAAAAUGCUUCUUUUUUAAAAAGGUGAAAAAAAUGCAAAUGUUUAUCAGCUGGUGAAAAUUACAUAAAUUAUGGGUUUUUUUUUGUUUUGUUUUGUUUUGUUUUGUUUUUUUUUUUGAAAGGCAGAGUGGACAGUGAGAGAGAGAGAGAGA